Molecule: ribosomal RNA, 576 nt
Filed under: uncultured bacterium
Lineage: Bacteria
Description: bacterial SSU rRNA
Rfam family: Bacterial small subunit ribosomal RNA
Source: RNAcentral
AUUGAACGCUGGCGGCAGGCCUAACACAUGCAAGUCGAGCGUGAAAGCCUUCGGGUGAGUAAAGCGGCGGACGGGUGAGUAACGCGUGGGAAUCUGCCCGGUAGCGGGGACAAGCAGUCGGAAACGACUGCUAAUACCGCAUACGCCCUGAGGGGAAAGGCAGGGGAGUCUUCGGACCUUGCACUAUCGGAUGAGCCCGCGUCAGAUUAGCUGGUUGGUAGGGUAAUGGCCUACCAAGGCAACGAUCUGUAACUGGUCUGAGAGGAUGAUCAGUCACACUGGAACUGAGACACGGUCCAGACUCCUACGGGAGGCAGCAGUGGGGAAUAUUGCACAAUGGGGGAAGCCCAUCGAUGCAGCCAUGCCGCGUGUGUGAAGAGGCCUCGGGUUGUAAAGCACUUUAAGCAGUGAGGAAGGGUUGAACGCUAAUAUCGUUCAAUAUUGACGUUAGCUGCAGAACAAGCACCGGCUAACUCCGUGCCAGCAGCCGCGGUAAUACGGAGGGUGCAAGCGUUAAUCGGAAUUACUGGACGCGUAAAGCGCGCGUAGGCGGUAAUCCAAGCUGGGUGUGAAAAG